GGUGGAUGGUGAGCAAGGAGCCUCUCGGGUGGAGGGCGGUCAGGGGCACCUGUGAGAGGAGUAGUUGGGUGAGAAGGCCAUGUUGACCUCACCUCCCUGACCAGACCCCCCCCCGCGUUUUGGAACCGGGUAACCAGGCACCCGCAUUCCAGAGGCAGGCCUCUACAUGCUCACUUGGUUGGAGAUCAUCUAUCCAAGAGCAUGUUUUCCUGCUGCUUCCACAUGUCUGGAUGUUGCCGAGGGAGGACUGCACGCCCUGCCAGCAGUGCCACCCACGGGGAGUGUCCUGGCAGGGCUCCCCGACGCCUCUGGCCACUUAGAAGGAAGGGUCGAAAGGUAACACGGGACCCCAGGGCCAUCCCGCCAGCCCCACACCCCUCUGACCAGACCUUUGCAGCCCUGGGUCCCCUCCCCGAGGGUGCAUGUGGGAGGCGGCAGGGGUCAUGUGGCAUGCGAACGGGAGAAGGCUGAUGAGGGGUCAGAACCUGGUGGGCAGGUGGUGGUCACUCCCCAGGUGCAGGCUGGCUGAUGGGAUGGGGUGGGGGGGCCGUGCCCUUCGGCCCAGGGCUGACCCCGGCCCUGCAGGGAUGGGUCGCUGCGUCCCGGGUGCAGGGCUGUGCACACCCAGGUCUGUGUGUGAUCUGGGAGCACAGGGGGAGUGGGCAGGAGCACAGGGAGGAGGGCCGGGGAGCCCUGCCAGGACACUCCCCGCGGGUGGCACUGCUGGCAGGGCGUGCAGUCCUCCCUCUGCAACAUCCAGACAUAUGGAAGCAGCAGGAAAACAUGCUCUUGGAUAGAUGAUCUCCAACCAAGUGAGCAUGUAGAGGCCUGUCUCUGGAAUGCGGGUGCCUGGUUACCCGGUUCCAAAAAGGGGGGGGGGUGUCUGUCAGGGAGGUGAGGUCAACAUGGCCUCCUCACCCAGCUUCUCCUCACACAGGUGCCCCCGACCGCCCUCCACCCGAGAGGCUCCUUGCUCACCAUGCACCCUUGCCCUGUCCACAUAGUCUCACCCACACAGCCCCCCCACCCCUGGGCUCACCCUCAGGCUCGGCCUCAUGAGCUCCGCCUCUAGGAGCAGAGUCAGGUUCAGGACCAGCAGGGCAGUGACCAGGGCAGCAUCUGGCCAGGAGGACUUCCCCGGCCUUCUCCGGGCCCUGGAUCUGGAAACCCUUC
RNAcentral lists this long non-coding RNA (1173 nucleotides) under Canis lupus familiaris (dog). RNAcentral describes it as "lncRNA (ENSCAFG00845013559.1)". The record is from RNAcentral. Lineage: Eukaryota; Metazoa; Chordata; Mammalia; Carnivora; Canidae.